GAUGAGUCUGCAUCUGAUUAGCUAGUUGAUGGUGUAAUGGACUACCAAGGCGACGAUCAGUAGCUGGUUUGAGAGGAUGAUCAGCCACAAUGGGACUGAGACACGGCCCAUACUCCUACGGGAGGCAGCAGUAGGGAAUUUUGCGCAAUGGGCGAAAGCCUGACGCAGCAACGCCGCGUGAUCGAGACGCCCUUCGGGGUGUAAAGAUCUGUCAGUGGGGACGAAACUUGACGGUACCCACAGAGGAAGCACCGGCUAACUCCGUGCCAGCAGCCGCGGUAAUACGGGGGGUGCAAGCGUUGUCCGGAAUCAUUGGGCGUAAAGAGUUCGUAGGCGGCACGUAAAGUCUGGUGUUAAAGGCAGAGGCUCAACUUCUGUACGGCACUGGAUACUUGCGAGCUAGAAUGCGGUAGAGGUAAAGGGAAUUCCUGGUGUAGCGGUGAAAUGCUUAGAUAUCAGGAGGAACAUCGGUGGCGUAAGCGCUUUACUGGGCCGUAAUUGACGCUGAGGAACGAAAGCCAGGGUAGCAAAUGGGAUUAGAUACCCCAGUAGUCCUGGCCGUAAACGAUGGAUACUAGGUGUUGCGGGUAUCGACCCCUGCA
Molecule: ribosomal RNA, 602 nt
Filed under: uncultured bacterium
Lineage: Bacteria
Description: bacterial SSU rRNA
Rfam family: Bacterial small subunit ribosomal RNA
Source: RNAcentral